This 253-nucleotide ribosomal RNA is filed under the name uncultured bacterium. Its description in RNAcentral is "partial 16S ribosomal RNA". It matches the Rfam family "Bacterial small subunit ribosomal RNA", at positions 524 to 776 of the family's 1533-position model. The record is from RNAcentral.
UACGGAGGGAGCUAGCGUUGUUCGGAAUUACUGGGCGUAAAGCGCGCGUAGGCGGCUUUGUAAGUUAGAGGUGAAAGCCUGGAGCUCAACUUCAGAAUUGCCUUUAAGACUGCAUCGCUUGAAUCCGGGAGAGGUGAGUGGAAUUCCGAGUGUAGAGGUGAAAUUCGUAGAUAUUCGGAAGAACACCAGUGGCGAAGGCGACUCACUGGACACGUAUUGACGCUGAGGUGCGAAAGCGUGGGGAGCAAACAGG